UGAUCACUUGCAACGAAGCAGACACAUUAUAACAUUAUCAAUAUAAUUCUGAAGCUCCUAUCACAAAAUGAAGAUAAUAAUUGCUUUCAUUUGUCAUUGCUGCAUUGUUGCACUCGACGCAAAACCUUUUGGUGGAUUGGGACUCGGAGGAAUGAGUCUUGGACCUGGGAUGGGUAUGGGUGUAGGUGGAAUGGGUGGAUACUCUAACGGCGGAGGAUACGGUGGACAACAAUACGGCGGUGGUGCAAGUGGAAUGGGAAACCAAGGUUAUGGAUCUUCAGGAGCUGGAGGUUAUAACAAUAUCGGAGCACACAACCACAGAGUGUUAUCUAUAAAUCAAGCAGACGAUUCAGGCUUCCACAAUGUUGGCGGCGGUUCAGCGAUGAAUAAUGGCGGUUAUUCCGGCGGCGGAUACAACGGAUAUGGGAAUGGUGGAUCAGCUUUUGGAAAUGGUUUUGGUAGCGGAAUGCAAGGAUUGAUGAUAUAAUAAUCAACUUUUACACUAGAGCUAAAAUAAAAUAAUUGUAUGAUAUAAAAUGACUACUACAAGUUGUUUCUAUAUGAAAUUUGGAAUAAAUAUAUUAUUUAUCAA
This is a long non-coding RNA of Leptidea sinapis, 592 nucleotides long. RefSeq lists it as uncharacterized. The record is from RefSeq and is a predicted model, not a curated record. The transcript has 3 exons. NCBI's taxonomy places the organism in Eukaryota, Metazoa, Arthropoda, Insecta, Lepidoptera, Pieridae.